AACUCUCACAAUUGUAGUAGUUGGCGGC
Molecule: small RNA, 28 nt
Filed under: Bombyx mori (domestic silkworm)
Lineage: Eukaryota; Metazoa; Arthropoda; Insecta; Lepidoptera; Bombycidae
Description: ovarian small RNA-10438
Source: RNAcentral